RNAcentral lists this ribosomal RNA (373 nucleotides) under uncultured Halorubrum sp. Its description in RNAcentral is "bacterial SSU rRNA". It matches the Rfam family "Archaeal small subunit ribosomal RNA", at positions 351 to 723 of the family's 1478-position model. The record is from RNAcentral. Lineage: Archaea; Methanobacteriati; Methanobacteriota; Halobacteria; Halobacteriales; Haloferacaceae.
UACACUGCACGACAGUGCGAUAGGGGGAUCCCAAGUGCACAGGCAUAGCGCCUGUGCUUUUCGGCACCCUAAGGUGGUGCCAGAAUAAGGGCUGGGCAAGACCGGUGCCAGCCGCCGCGGUAAUACCGGCAGCCCGAGUGAUGGCCGAUCUUAUUGGGCCUAAAGCGUCCGUAGCUGGCCGCGCAAGUCCAUCGGGAAAUCCACCUGCUCAACAGGUGGGCGCCCGGUAGAAACUGCGUGGCUUGGGACCGGAAGGCGCGACGGGUACGUCCGGGGUAGGAGUGAAAUCCCGUAAUCCUGGACGGACCGCCGAUGGCGAAAGCACGUCGCGAGAACGGAUCCGACAGUGAGGGACGAAAGCCAGGGUCUCGAA